CAAGGGGCAAGUAGAGUGGCAAACGGGUGAGUAACACGUGGGUGACCCGCCUUCGAGCGGGGGAUAACGUCCCGAAAGGGACGCUAAUACCGCAUAACAUCCUGCCUUUGAAGAGGUGGAGAUCAAAGCUGGGGAUCGCAAGACCCGGCACUUGAAGAGGGGCCCGCGUCUGAUUAGCUAGUUGGUGGGGUAACGGCCUACCAAGGCAACGAUCAGUAUCCGGCCUGAGAGGGCGGACGGACACACUGGGACUGAGACACGGCCCAGACUCCUACGGGAGGCAGCAGUGGGGAAUUGUUCGCAAUGGGCGCAAGCCUGACGACGCAACGCCGCGUGGAGGAUGUAGAUUUUCGGAUCGUAAACUCCUGUCGAAUGGGACGAACAGAUUGCGGGUGAACAGCCCGUAGUCCUGACGGUACCGUUAAAGGAAACCCCGGCUAACUCCGUGCCAGCAGCCGCGGUAAUACGGGGGGGGUAAGCGUUGUUCGGAAUUACUGGGCGUAAAGGGCUCGUAGGCGGCCAACUAAGUCAUACGUGAAAUCCCUCAGCUUAACUGGGGAACUGCGUGUGAUACUGGAUGGCUUGGAUUUGGGAGAGGGAUGCGGAAUUCCAGGUGUAGCGGUGAAAUGCGUAGAUAUCUGGAGGAACACCGGUGGCGAAGGCGGCAUCCUGGACCAAUAUUGACGCUGAGGAGCGAAAGCCAGGGGAGCAAACGGGAUUAGAUACCCCGGUAGUCCUGGCCCUAAACGAUGAAUGCUUGGUGUAGCGGGUAUCGAUCCCUGCUGUGCCGAAGCUAACGCA
This 801-nucleotide ribosomal RNA is filed under the name uncultured Bacillota bacterium. RNAcentral describes it as "bacterial SSU rRNA". It matches the Rfam family "Bacterial small subunit ribosomal RNA", at positions 80 to 859 of the family's 1533-position model. Lineage: Bacteria; Bacillati; Bacillota. The record is from RNAcentral.